Molecule: long non-coding RNA, 679 nt
Organism: Erigeron canadensis
Lineage: Eukaryota; Viridiplantae; Streptophyta; Magnoliopsida; Asterales; Asteraceae
Exons: 2
Source: RefSeq, a predicted model, not a curated record
UUUAUGAAAUACACACACUUUUUAAAACUUACUAAUUUGAACAAUAUACCCGUGAGUUUUCGGUAUUAACGGUAUUAACCACACGGACUCCUUUCUACUCCACCCAAUAGCCCAAUACCCCAUCUUCUCUCCUCCCCUGUUCCUCCGAUCAAUCUUCCUCCAAAACCUAAAUUAAAAAAGGGAUCCAUUAAACAAAUUAAGAUGAUAACAACACAAAUCCAACCAUUCUCCCUUCAAUCAAAUCAAUCUAGAAUCAAGGUUCUACACUCUCUGAUUCGCGUUGGGAAAGAUUUCCACCUUGUUCGUCUUCACAGUAACAUCUUCUAAUGAAAUAUAUGUUGGGUUUUCUAUGGUUACAAAUUACCAUACAAUUAAUUUUUAGACAGUUUGAUAUGACUUCUCCCUAUCCUUUCAAAAAAUACGAUAUCAUCAACUAGUACCAAUGCAUAAGGAGUUGGUAGUAUCAAGGGUAAAGACGCGAUCGAGUGAAGUUAGAAUUGGAAGCUCUUGCCAUUUGGAAGGUUGGCAUUUUGGAUAAUUUGGGUAGAUGAUCCCUUUGGUACCCAUUGGCUUUUGAUACAUGCUCUUUGGUCAAAUCUUUUUUUGGAUGAACUUCUAAAAGUUGUGGUUGUGUUUGAAACGCUAGUAAUGGUAGAAUUUGUAACUAACUUGACGAUUA